RNAcentral lists this small nuclear RNA (105 nucleotides) under Rhodnius prolixus. RNAcentral describes it as "U4 spliceosomal RNA". It matches the Rfam family "U4 spliceosomal RNA". From Rfam's summary of the family: U4 small nuclear RNA (U4 snRNA) is a component of the major U2-dependent spliceosome. The structure of U4 snRNA from yeast and human has been reported. U4 snRNA presents a k-turn RNA motif in the 5p-SL related to recognition of Snu13 protein. The record is from Rfam by way of RNAcentral. Lineage: Eukaryota; Metazoa; Arthropoda; Insecta; Hemiptera; Reduviidae.
AACCUCGCGCAGUGGCAAUAUCGUAACCAAUGAAGGCCUCCUGAGGUGCGAUUAUUGCUAAUUUUUUCUUUAUUUUUUUUUAAUUUUUAGGCGCCACGGUAGUCG